RNAcentral lists this ribosomal RNA (680 nucleotides) under uncultured diatom. Its description in RNAcentral is "eukaryotic LSU rRNA". The stretch from base 336 to 680 matches the Rfam family "Eukaryotic large subunit ribosomal RNA", at positions 1 to 358 of the family's 3401-position model. The record is from RNAcentral. Lineage: Eukaryota; Bacillariophyta.
UUACUUGAAUGGUGUGUGGUGUGUGCGGUGCCUUUCAUGGCGCGGCCUCACUGGAGUGGCUCUUUCUUGUGAAUCACUUACUGUUGAGUUGACUCUUUCCCCAUGGUGUUUGGCUCGUGCGAGAUGAAAAUCUGGCUGGGCUGGGUGGUGCGGCUGGAGGUUGUAGAAGGGUGCCUGAUGGUGCCAUUUUGAAACUCUAAUCCACUCACUGUUCUCAUUGGAGAAGAGUUUACUUGCACAAUUCUUUUGUGCUGUGAUUGGUUUGCAUUUUAUCCCUGCAAUGAAGGCCGCUCUAGUACUGUGUGCUAUGUGCUGAGCUCUCAUCGCCUACCAUCUGAUCUCUACUCAGACAAGAGGACCCGCUGAAUUUAAGCAUAUAACUAAGCGGAGGAAAAGAAACCAACUAGGAUUCCCCCAGUAAGGGCGACUGAAGCGGGAUGAGCUCACAGUGUGAAUUGGUGCUGUUUAGCACUGAAUUGUGGUCUGUGGACAUAGGCGCUCGUGGUGCCAGGCUAAGUUUCUUGGAAAAGAACAGCUGAGAGGGUGAUACUCCCGUGUGCCUGGCCAACAAGCCUGUGUCAAAGAGUCGAGUUGUUUGGGAUUGCAGCUCAAAUUGGGUGGUAAAUUCCAUCUAAAGCUAAAUAUUGGUGGGAGACCGAUAGCGCACAAGUACCGUGAGG